AAUAGAUACCCUGGUAGUCCACGCCGUAAACGAUGUCGACUUGGAGGUUGUUCCCUUGAGGAGUGGCUUCCGGAGCUAACGCGUUAAGUCGACCGCCUGGGGAGUACGGCCGCAAGGUUAAAACUCAAAUGAAUUGACGGGGGCCCGCACAAGCGGUGGAGCAUGUGGUUUAAUUCGAUGCAACGCGAAGAACCUUACCUACUCUUGACAUCCAGAGAACUUAGCAGAGAUGCUUUGGUGCCUUCGGGAACUCUGAGACAGGUGCUGCAUGGCUGUCGUCAGCUCGUGUUGUGAAAUGUUGGGUUAAGUCCCGCAACGAGCGCAACCCUUAUCCUUUGUUGCCAGCGGUCCGGCCGGGAACUCAAAGGAGACUGCCAGUGAUAAACUGGAGGAAGGUGGGGAUGACGUCAAGUCAUCAUGGCCCUUACGAGUAGGGCUACACACGUGCUACAAUGGCGUAUACAAAGNGAAGCGACCUCGCGAGAGCAAGCGGACCUCAUAAAGUACGUCGUAGUCCGGAUUGGAGUCUGC
RNAcentral lists this ribosomal RNA (531 nucleotides) under uncultured bacterium. Its description in RNAcentral is "bacterial SSU rRNA". It matches the Rfam family "Bacterial small subunit ribosomal RNA", at positions 777 to 1308 of the family's 1533-position model. The record is from RNAcentral.